GGUUCGAUCAUGGUCAGAUUGAACGCUGGCGGGAUGCUUUACACAUGCAAGUCGAACGGCAGCACGACUUCGGUCUGGUGGCGAGUGGCGAACGGGUGAGUAAUGUAUCGGAACGUGCCUAGUAGCGGGGGAUAACUAAGCGAAAGGUAGGCUAAUACCGCAUACGCCCUUCGGGGGAAAGCGGGGACCUUCGGGCCUCGCACUAUUAGAGCGGCCGAUAUCGGAUUAGCUAGUUGGUGGGUAACGGCUCACCAAGGCGACGAUCCGUAGCUGGUUUGAGAGGACGAAUACUUCAGCCACACUGGGACUGGGAGAUGGCCCAGACUCCUACGGGAGGCAGCAGUGGGGAAUUUGGACAAUGGGGGAAACCCUGAUCCAGCCAUCCCGCGUGUGCGAUGAAGGCCUUCUCGGGUUGUGGAAGCACUUUUGGCAGGAAGAAACGGCACGGGAUAAUACCCCGUGCAACUGACGGUACCUGCAGAAUAAGCACCGGCUAACUACGUGCCAGCAGCCGCGGUAAUACGUAGGGUGCAAGCGUUAAUCGGAAUUACUGGGCGUAAAAGCGUGCGCAGGCGGUUCGGAAAGAAAGAUGUGAAAUCCAGGAGCUUAACUUUGGAACUGCAUUUUUUAACUACCGAGCUAGAGCGUGUCAGGGAGGGAGGUGGAAUUCCGCGUGUAGCAGUGAAAUGCGUAGAUAUGCGGAGGAACACCGAUGGCGAAGGCAGCCUCCUGGGAUAACACUGACGCUCAUGCACGAAAGCGUGGGGAGCAAACAGGAUUAGAUACCCUGGUAGUCCACGCCCCAAACGAUGUCAACUAGCUGUUGGGGCCUUCGGGCCUUGGUAGCGCAGCUGAAUAACGCGUGAAGUUGACCGCCUGGGGAGUACGGUCGCAAGAUUAAACCUAAAGGAAUUGACGGGACCGCACAAGCGGUGGAUGAUGUGGAUUAAUUCGAUGCAACGCGAAAACCUUACCUACUCCUUCUUGACAUGUCUGGAAUCCCGAAGAGAUUUGGGAGUACUGCAAGAGAACCGGAACACAGGUGCUGCAUGGCUGUCGUCAGGCUCGUGUCGUGAGAUGUUGGGUUAAGUCCCGCAACGAGCGCAACCCUUGUCAUUAGUUGCUACGAAAGGGCACUCUAAUGAGACUGCCGGUGACAAACCGGAGGGAAGGUGGGGAUGACGUCAAGUCCUCAUGGCCCUUAUGGGUAGGGCUUCACACGUCAUACAAUGGUCGGGACAGAGGGUCGCCAACCCGCGAGGGGGGAGCCAAUCCCAGAAACCCGAUCGUGGUCCGGAUCGCAGUCUGCAACCUGACUGCGUGCGGGAAGUCGGAAUCGCUAGUAAUCGCGGAUCAGCAUGUCGCGGUGAAUACGUUCCCGGGUCUUGUACACACUGCCCGUCACACCAUGGGGAGUGGGUUUUACCAGAAGUAGUUAGCCUAACCGUAAGGAGGGCGAUUACCACGGUAGGAUUCAUGACUGGGUGAAGUCGUAACAAGGUAG
RNAcentral lists this ribosomal RNA (1504 nucleotides) under uncultured Bordetella sp. Its description in RNAcentral is "partial 16S-23S ribosomal RNA intergenic spacer". It matches the Rfam family "Bacterial small subunit ribosomal RNA". The record is from RNAcentral. Lineage: Bacteria; Pseudomonadati; Pseudomonadota; Betaproteobacteria; Burkholderiales; Alcaligenaceae.